AGUCACUGACAUUAGAUACCCGUGGUAGUCCAGGGUGUAAACGCUGCAGACUUGGUGUUGGAAGUCCUUUGGGGGCAUUCAGUGCCGGAGAGAAGUUGUUAAGUCUGCUACUUGGGGAGUACGUCCGCAAGGAUGAAACUUAAAGGAAUUGGCGGGGGAGCACCGCAACGGGAGGAGCGUGCGGUUUAAUUGGAUUCAACACCGUAAAACUCACCAGGGAAGACUGUUACAUGAAAGCCGAGAUGAAGACUCUGCUAGAUUUUCAG
This 266-nucleotide ribosomal RNA is filed under the name uncultured archaeon. Its description in RNAcentral is "partial 16S ribosomal RNA". It matches the Rfam family "Archaeal small subunit ribosomal RNA", at positions 715 to 982 of the family's 1478-position model. The record is from RNAcentral.